Molecule: long non-coding RNA, 1124 nt
Organism: Haliotis rufescens (red abalone)
Lineage: Eukaryota; Metazoa; Mollusca; Gastropoda; Lepetellida; Haliotidae
Exons: 3
Source: RefSeq, a predicted model, not a curated record
UCAGUCCGGAUUAGUACAAGCAGCAAUAUAUAAGUGCAAUAAUCUUGGAUGCGACGUUAAACCCCAUUUCACCUCACCAAGAUAUUCUUCAAACAGGUGUUGAAAUCUCCCAUUACACAAAGCAAUAUCUAUGAGACCACAAACUUUUCAAUUUACCCAUGUCACUCUAGUCGACAUAUGUUGCGAGACUCCCGCAUUUCAUCUGGUGUUACGACCAGAUCACCCAAUCUCAUACAUUGAUAUCAUUAAUAUAUCUGCUGUUGAAACAUCAGCAAUUUGAUUCUAAUAUCUCCCCAAUGUCAACAGACAAGAAAUGUUGGAGUUCAUCACUAUUAAACAUCUGUUAUAUCGGGUUCUUUCAGAUAUUUUGCCCUACUUGUUGUUCCUGUUGGUGCUGUUGUUGUUGCUGUUGUUGUUGCUGUUGUUGUUGCUGUUGCUGUUGUUGUUUACAAACGUGUUCAGAAGAAGAAGAAGAAUUAUUAUGAACCAGUCAACACAAACCAGAGUCAGCCUACCAGCAAAGAAAAUAACGGGGUUCAACAAUCUCAUCUGACUCAAGUCACAUCGUGCGUCUAGUCACUUGGAGGAAUAGUGUACAUCUCCAAACUAACUCUCAUGUUGUCGAAUCAAACACCUUCCACCUUUACAUGUUUCUAUUUGAAGAUACUCAAGGAUUGUCAGGUUUAUAUGACUGAAUGGAUGGGGACACUCAACGAGUCCACAAGAUAUAGCAAGUCACAAAACAGAAGUCCAGGUUUACCUGUGGAGUUGGUGCUAUCGACGAAUGAUACCAGUAUUGAUAAGCUUCAUUAAUCAACCUUAGCAACAACAUCAACAUAAUCAACAACAACCUCCAUGGUCUAGUGGUAGAGGGGGCGGUCGGGUAGCCUAGUGGUUAAAGCGUUCGCAUGUCACGCCCAAGACCCGGGUUCAAUUCCCGACAUGGGUACAAUGUGUGAAGCCCAUUUCUGGUGUCCCCCGCCGUGAUAUUGCUGGAAUAUUGCUAAAAGCGGCGUAGAACCAUACUCACUCACUCACUCUAGUGGUAGAACAUGUGCACACUCUCAGGUGGUAUUAUGUGCGCUAGAUGUGUCUUGUGUCUUAGGCCAAGUGUUUGAGUAUGA